CGACUAAUAGUAAGAAGGUGUUAUGAAAUUUAAGUAUUGAGUCUUCAUUUCAGCCCCCAAGUGAAACAAAUGUUAUGCUUGCCUUCAUUUAUCCCUGUUGUCUGAUUUCAGGUUAGGCCAAGAAAUAAUUUUCCAAGGAUCGAAAUCCAUGGUGUCAGCUAUUCCUCUUUCAGAGAAUUUUGAAACUCAGCCUUGCAGAAGAUGAACUCCUUCCUUCAAAAAUUCCUCAGGUUGCUGUUGCUGACUACAUUAUUAGAAGUGGUCAUUAAAAUAAGCGUCUUAGGAGGAAAGGAUUCCACACUCUUUCUCAUGAGAGAAGUAUUAUUAUUACCUUCUGCACUCCUUUCAUGCCAGAAUGCUUGAGGAACCACAUCUAGGGCUGAGACUGUGCUCUUGCUUUUUUGAUGGUGAGUAAUUCAUGAAGGACAUUUCCUAAUCCAGACAUGUCAAACCAUGGGACUAAGUUUUCACCAC
This 474-nucleotide long non-coding RNA is filed under the name Anas platyrhynchos platyrhynchos (common mallard). Its description in RNAcentral is "lncRNA (ENSAPLG00000016878.1)". Lineage: Eukaryota; Metazoa; Chordata; Aves; Anseriformes; Anatidae. The record is from RNAcentral.